UGAGUGAUGUCUGGGAAACUGCCUGAUGGAGGGGGAUAACUACUGGAAACGGUAGCUAAUACCGCAUAACGUCGCAAGACCAAAGAGGGGGACCUUCGGGCCUCUUGCCAUCAGAUGUGCCCAGAUGGGAUUAGCUAGUAGGUGGGGUAACGGCUCACCUAGGCGACGAUCCCUAGCUGGUCUGAGAGGAUGACCAGCCACACUGGAACUGAGACACGGUCCAGACUCCUACGGGAGGCAGCAGUGGGGAAUAUUGCACAAUGGGCGCAAGCCUGAUGCAGCCAUGCCGCGUGUAUGAAGAAGGCCUUCGGGUUGUAAAGUACUUUCAGCGGGGAGGAAGGGAGUAAAGUUAAUACCUUUGCUCAUUGACGUUACCCUCAUAAGAAGCACCGGCUAACUCCGUGCCAGCAGCCGCGGUAAUACGGAGGGUGCAAGCGUUAAUCGGAAUUACUGGGCGUAAAGCGCACGCACGCGGUUUGUUUAGUCAGAUGUGAAAUCCCCCGGG
This 505-nucleotide ribosomal RNA is filed under the name uncultured bacterium. RNAcentral's name for it is "bacterial SSU rRNA". It matches the Rfam family "Bacterial small subunit ribosomal RNA", at positions 107 to 608 of the family's 1533-position model. The record is from RNAcentral.